This 312-nucleotide long non-coding RNA is filed under the name Cricetulus griseus (Chinese hamster). RNAcentral describes it as "lncRNA (ENSCGRG00015032674.1)". The record is from RNAcentral. Lineage: Eukaryota; Metazoa; Chordata; Mammalia; Rodentia; Cricetidae.
UUUUUGUUGUGUCCGGAAGCAUUUGUGCCAAGGAUAUCCACUGUAAGCAGUCUUGUGUGUCCCCAUCAAAGUAAGGGAGAAGAAGGAAGGUGUUAGGACAGAUUGAAGAAGUGGAUUGAGCAGGAAACUCACCUGGUAGACAUACUGUGUUUGCAGAUCCGAGGAAGACCUGCCUGACAGCAAUUCCUGGACACCCCAGAUAGAAAAUGGGCCACACCUUCUCGACUGCACUGGAUCCAACUUGCUCCAUUUCAACAGACACUAACGCCAGAGCUUCGGGUACUGACUUCAAUCAAGUUGAGGAUUUCAAGC